This 420-nucleotide ribosomal RNA is filed under the name uncultured Nitrososphaerota archaeon. RNAcentral describes it as "bacterial SSU rRNA". It matches the Rfam family "Archaeal small subunit ribosomal RNA", at positions 459 to 879 of the family's 1478-position model. The record is from RNAcentral. Lineage: Archaea; Thermoproteati; Nitrososphaerota.
CAGCCGCCGCGGUAACACCAGCCCCUCGAGUGGUGGGGAUGAUUAUUGGGCCUAAAGCGUCCGUAGCCAGCCGGAAAAGUUUCCCGUUAAAUCCGACGUCUCAAGCGUUGGACUGCGGGAAAUACUGUCCGGCUAGAGAGUGGGAGAGGUUAGCGGUAUUCUGGGGGUAGGGGCGAAAUCCUUUGUUCCCCGGAGGACCACCAGUGGCGAAGGCUGCUGACUAGAACACGUCUGACGGUCAGGGACGAAAGCUGGGGUAGCGAACCGGAUUAGAUACCCGGGUAGUCCCAGCCGUAAACGAUGCAUGCUAGGUGUUGGGUUGGCCACGAGCCACCCCAGUGCCGCAGGGAAGCCGUUAAGCAUGCCGCCUGGGAAGUACGAUCGCAAGGUUGAAACUUAAAGGAAUUGGCGGGGGGGCAC